AAGUGAAGACAAAAGCCAUUACAAGAUGGCGAGGUUUGAGCGGAGACGAAGAGAGGGAAAUUAAGUGUGGGUCAACAGUGACUGAAUACAUAGGUCAUGUGUAGCGAACCCAGGGAACUGAAACAUCUAAGUACCUGGAGGAAAAGAAAUCAACCGAGAUUCCGCAAGUAGUGGCGAGCGAACGCGGAGCAGCCUGCAAUUUUUAGCUUUUGUGUUAACGGAACAGUCUGGAAAGUCUGGCCAUAGUGGGUGAUAGCCCCGUAGGUGAAAGCACAGGAGUGGAACUAGGAUUGCGACAAGUAGGGCGGGGCACGAGAAACCCUGUCUGAACAUGGGGGGACCAUCCUCCAAGGCUAAAUACUCGUAAUCGACCGAUAGUGAACAAGUACCGUGAGGGAAAGGUGAAAAGAACCCCGGAAGGGGAGUGAAACAGACCUGAAACCGCAUGCAUACAAACAGUGGGAGCCCCUCCUUCAAGCGCUUUGCGCUAGACAGAGGACAGAAGACUGAGGACUGAAGACAGAUUGUUGUGUCGCUUCGCGACGUUUUUAAUAAAGGUGCCGCGUAGCGGCAACAGCAUUCUGUCAUCUGUCAUCUGUCUUCAGUCUUCUGCCAUUCAAAAGCAGAGCUUUUGAAGGAGGGGUGACUGCGUACCUUUUGUAUAAUGGGUCAGCGACUUACAUUCAGUAGCGAGCUUAACCGCAUAGGGGAGGCGCAGGGAAACCGAGUCUGAUAAGGGCGAUAGUUGCUGGGUGUAGACCCGAAACCAAGUGAUCUAUCCAUGGCCAGGAUGAAGGUGUGGUAACACACACUGGAGGUCCGAACCCACUAGUGUUGAAAAACUAGGGGAUGAGCUGUGGAUAGGGGUGAAAGGCUAAACAAACUUGGAAAUAGCUGGUUCUCUCCGAAAACUAUUUAGGUAGUACCUCAUGUAUCACUCCCGGGGGUAGAGCACUGUUAUGGCUAGGGGUCUAUUGCUGACUACCAAACCAUUGCAAACUCCGAAUACCGGGAAGUGCGAGCAUGGGAGACAGACAUCGGGUGCUAACGUCCGGUGUCAAGAGGGAAACAACCCAGACCGCCAGCUAAGGUCCCCAAGACACAGUUAAGUGGGAAACGAGGUGGGAAGGCCCAGACAGCUAGGAGGUUGGCUUAGAAGCAGCCACCCUUUAAAGAAAGCGUAAUAGCUCACUGGUCGAGUGGGUCUGCGCGGAAAAUGUACCGGGGCUAAGCAUAGUACCGAAGCCAUGGGAUGGCGCUUUGCGCCAUCGGUAGGGGAGCGUUCCGUCAGCGGUGAAGGCCGAUCGUAAGGGCGGCUGGAGCGGACGGAAGUGAGAAUGCAGGCAUGAGUAGCGUACAAACACGUGAGAACCGUGUUCGCCGUAAAUCUAAGGUUUCCGACGCCAGGUCAUUCCGCGUCGGGUUAGUCGGGUCCUUAGCCGAGGCCGAGAGGCGUAGGUGAUGGACAUCCGGUCAACAUUCCGGAACCGCUUGAGAGUGCGAUGGGAGGACGCAACGAGAUAGGCCAGCCUGUUAUUGGAUUCAGGUGCGAUCUAUCAAGACGUUGAGACUGGUAGGCAAAUCCGCCGGUUGAGUCGAGGUAGGAGCGAGCCGUAAGGCAUAAGUGGCUGAGUUUUGUUGCCCAGAAAAGUCUCUAAGCAUAACUUUCAAGCGCCCGUACCGCAAACCGACACUGGUAGACGGGUAGAGAAUACCAAGGCGAACGGGAGAACCUUCGUUAAGGAAUUAGGCAAAUUAGCCCCGUAACUUAGGGAUAAGGGGUGCCCUGCUGCGUGAAAUGUGAACAUAUGGAGCGUGGCGGGGUCGCAGUGAAAGGGCUCUAGUGACUGGUUAACAAAACCACAGGUCUCUGCCAAGCCGCAAGGCGAUGUAUAGGGGCUGACACCUGCCCAGUGCCGGAAGGUUAAAGGGAGAAGUCAGGCGCAAGCUGAAGCUUUGAACUGAAGCCCCGGUGAACGGCGGCCGUAACUAUAACGGUCCUAAGGUAGCGAAAUUCCUUGUCGGGUAGAAUAGACUGCCCGUACCGGCUGAUAACGGUGGAGCCCAAACUCGUUGCGCUGUGACAAGGACAGCGUGGAAAAGAGAUGGGUAAUACCGUGGGAAGUCGACCUAACCCUGAGCAAUGCGAAGGGGAAGCGUUGACCCCGUAACGACUGAGGCGCAAGCCGAGAUGAUGGCUGAGGCUACUAGAUUAUAACCAUCAUCAUACGCCGGAAUCUCCCAGCGAGCUCGAGCCGAUGGAUCUGAAUGCCUAUCUGAGUGGAUAUGUUGAUGGCGAAGGGUGCUUCUGUGUAUCCUUCAAUCGUAGCCAACGUCAUCGUUUGGGCUGGGAAAUCCGACCAAGUUUCUCGGUCAGCCAAAAUGAUGAUCGAGCUGAAGUGCUGAAAAUGCUGAAGGAGCGCUUCGGUUGUGGCAGUAUCCGACCGGAUAGGUCAGAUCGAACGUUAAAGUAUGAAGUGCGAAGUGUUCGCGAUCUGGUGGAGAAGGUGAUUCCUCACUUCGAGAAGUUCCCGUUGCUGUCAAGCAACGUGACUUCGAGAAGUUUGCACAGAUUUGCCGCUUGAUGUUGGAGCAGCAGCAUCUCAGCAAAGAAGGAUUCAGCCAGAUUGUCCACUUGGCGUUCGAAAUGAAUUCAUCAGGUCUUCGGAAACACUCGUUGAGCGAGAUUAAGAUAUAGUCUGCGCCCAUAGAAAUAUGGGAUAUGCGCGAAGUUCCGACCCGCACGAAAGGUGUAACGAC
Molecule: ribosomal RNA, 2760 nt
Filed under: soil metagenome
Description: bacterial LSU rRNA
Rfam family: Bacterial large subunit ribosomal RNA (bases 1-2138)
Source: RNAcentral